This 301-nucleotide ribosomal RNA is filed under the name uncultured bacterium. Its description in RNAcentral is "partial 16S ribosomal RNA". It matches the Rfam family "Bacterial small subunit ribosomal RNA", at positions 509 to 809 of the family's 1533-position model. The record is from RNAcentral.
CAGUCGCCGCGGGAAUACAGAGGGUGCGAGCGUUAAUCGGAUUUACUGGGCGUAAAGCGUGCGUAGGCGGCUUCUUAAGUCGGAUGUGAAAUCCCUGAGCUUAACUUAGGAAUUGCAUUCGAUACUGGGAAGCUAGAGUAUGGGAGAGGAUGGUAGAAUUCCAGGUGUAGCGGUGAAAUGCGUAGAGAUCUGGAGGAAUACCGAUGGCGAAGGCAGCCAUCUGGCCUAAUGCUGACGCUGAGGUACGAAAGCAUGGGGAGCAAACAGGAUUAGAUACCCCUGUAGUCCCUGUCUCUUAUAU